RNAcentral lists this ribosomal RNA (1114 nucleotides) under Bacillus pumilus. Its description in RNAcentral is "bacterial SSU rRNA". It matches the Rfam family "Bacterial small subunit ribosomal RNA", at positions 172 to 1272 of the family's 1533-position model. Lineage: Bacteria; Bacillati; Bacillota; Bacilli; Caryophanales; Bacillaceae. The record is from RNAcentral.
GAUAGUUCCUUGAACCGCAUGGUUCAAGGAUGAAAGACGGUUUCGGCUGUCACUUACAGAUGGACCCGCGGCGCAUUAGCUAGUUGGUGAGGUAACGGCUCACCAAGGCGACGAUGCGUAGCCGACCUGAGAGGGUGAUCGGCCACACUGGGACUGAGACACGGCCCAGACUCCUACGGGAGGCAGCAGUAGGGAAUCUUCCGCAAUGGACGAAAGUCUGACGGAGCAACGCCGCGUGAGUGAUGAAGGUUUUCGGAUCGUAAAGCUCUGUUGUUAGGGAAGAACAAGUGCAAGAGUAACUGCUUGCACCUUGACGGUACCUAACCAGAAAGCCACGGCUAACUACGUGCCAGCAGCCGCGGUAAUACGUAGGUGGCAAGCGUUGUCCGGAAUUAUUGGGCGUAAAGGGCUCGCAGGCGGUUUCUUAAGUCUGAUGUGAAAGCCCCCGGCUCAACCGGGGAGGGUCAUUGGAAACUGGGAAACUUGAGUGCAGAAGAGGAGAGUGGAAUUCCACGUGUAGCGGUGAAAUGCGUAGAGAUGUGGAGGAACACCAGUGGCGAAGGCGACUCUCUGGUCUGUAACUGACGCUGAGGAGCGAAAGCGUGGGGAGCGAACAGGAUUAGAUACCCUGGUAGUCCACGCCGUAAACGAUGAGUGCUAAGUGUUAGGGGGUUUCCGCCCCUUAGUGCUGCAGCUAACGCAUUAAGCACUCCGCCUGGGGAGUACGGUCGCAAGACUGAAACUCAAAGGAAUUGACGGGGGCCCGCACAAGCGGUGGAGCAUGUGGUUUAAUUCGAAGCAACGCGAAGAACCUUACCAGGUCUUGACAUCCUCUGACAACCCUAGAGAUAGGGCUUUCCCUUCGGGGACAGAGUGACAGGUGGUGCAUGGGUUGUCGUCAGCUCGUGUCGUGAGAUGUUGGGUUAAGUCCCGCAACGAGCGCAACCCUUGAUCUUAGUUGCCAGCAUUCAGUUGGGCACUCUAAGGUGACUGCCGGUGACAAACCGGAGGAAGGUGGGGAUGACGUCAAAUCAUCAUGCCCCUUAUGACCUGGGCUACACACGUGCUACAAUGGACAGAACAAAGGGCUGCGAGACCGCAAGGUUUAGCCAAU